GAUGAACGCUGGCGGCGUGCCUAAUACAUGCAAGUCGAGCGAACGGACGAGAAGCUUGCUUCUCUGAUGUUAGCGGCGGACGGGUGAGUAACACGUGGAUAACCUACCUAUAAGACUGGGAUAACUUCGGGAAACCGUAGCUAAUACCGGAUAAUAUUUUGAACCGCAUGGUUCAAAAGUGAAAGACGGUCUUGCUGUCACUUAUAGAUGGAUCCGCGCUGCAUUAGCUAGUUGGUAAGGUAACGGCUUACCAAGGCAACGAUGCAUAGCCGACCUGAGAGGGUGAUCGGCCACACUGGAACUGAGACACGGUCCAGACUCCUACGGGAGGCACCAGUAGGGAAUCUUCCGCAAUGGGCGAAAGCCUGACGGAGCAACGCCGCGUGAGUGAUGAAGGUCUUCGGAUCGUAAAACUCUGUUAUUAGGGAAGAACAUAUGUGUAAGUAACUGUGCACAUCUUGACGGUACCUAAUCAGAAAGCCACGGCUAACUACGUG
RNAcentral lists this ribosomal RNA (497 nucleotides) under uncultured bacterium. RNAcentral's name for it is "partial 16S ribosomal RNA". It matches the Rfam family "Bacterial small subunit ribosomal RNA", at positions 28 to 507 of the family's 1533-position model. The record is from RNAcentral.